GAGCCAAACCAAAAGGCCCAAAGUUCCAGCCAGGCCUAUAUAGCAAAAGGAGCUAAAAUCUACUUCACCCGCUCACCCCUACACGAACAAGGCAGUCCCUUUUCGCCGCCGCCGUCGUCACUGGUUGCAACUCCGACGACAAACGUUGGAGAAGAAAAUGAAUGCUUUCAAGGCUUAUAAAGCCAGUGUCCCAAUUGCAUGGAGCCCUAAUCUGUAUAUAACUUUGGUGAGGGGAAUCCCGGGAACCAGGAGACUUCAUAGGCGUACUUUAGAGGCAUUACGUCUCGGAAAGUGCAACCGAACUGUCAUGAGAUGGAACACUCCUACAGUCAGGGGAAUGCUCCAACAGGUUAAGAGAUUGGUCGUAAUUGAGACAGAAGAGAUGUAUAAAGCCCGCAAACAAAACUUGGAAAGCCACCGAGAUCUACGCCCCCCUUUGGUCAUAAAUCACCAACCUGCUUCUGCAAGUGGUUCUUCUUAAUGGCCUAUGUAAUUGUUUAGAGGUCAGCUCUCAGCUUCUUAGAUACGUGCCUCUUGAUCGAGGAGACUAAUAUUCCUGUAUUUUUUUUAUAAGCAGCCAAUUCUGGAUCCAGUUGUUUAUCAAUUGCAUGUUUGGUUUUGUGUCUCAAAAUCUGCAGUGGUUCUGAACUAGUUCAUUAAUGCUGAAACAAAUAAUCUUGCAACUA
Long non-coding RNA from Pyrus x bretschneideri (Chinese white pear), 686 nucleotides. RefSeq lists it as uncharacterized. The transcript is spliced from 3 exons. The record is from RefSeq and is a predicted model, not a curated record. Lineage: Eukaryota; Viridiplantae; Streptophyta; Magnoliopsida; Rosales; Rosaceae.